This is a long non-coding RNA of Gavialis gangeticus (Gharial), 436 nucleotides long. RefSeq lists it as uncharacterized. NCBI's taxonomy places the organism in Eukaryota, Metazoa, Chordata, Crocodylia, Gavialidae. The transcript has 3 exons. The record is from RefSeq and is a predicted model, not a curated record.
UUCACAUAUUUUACUACUGAUAUUCUCUGCAGUAUGCCUGUUCUCUCCUGUUUCAAUGCUUCUGUAAAAAAAUGAUUGAGAUGUUAUCACAAAGUUUAUGAUUCCUUCUCCCCGCACAUUUGUCCAUCCAUCUGUAAGUACUCCAAGACACAGUGCUUCGUUGAUUUUUCCUUGCACAGAUUGCAUUACACAUUCAUAUUAUGACUUUAAAAGAGGCUUGCUCAAAGAAUGUGUGCUGGGCAAACAGUAUGAUGGUCCUAGUAAUUUAAAAGCUUCCUGCCAGCAUGCAUUUUCAGUUACUGACAAUGGCACCUUAGAAGAAUAUGUUGCUCUUGCAAGAGUUUGGUCAACUUUUUCCUGAUCUUCAGGUAUCAUCUUGUCUACAAAUGAAGCUAUUGAGAGUCUUUUGUAUACAGUUAGGGGUGCACAGGUAGAG